GUGCAUUCAAUCUUAUUCAUGUGGUAGUUUACUAUAAACUGACCAAAUGAAUCAGGAAGUGACUGUAGGAUCAAAUCUACUUGCAAUUCCUUGUGCAUGUCCAUACCGAGCUUCUCAAGCUCCUCUAGAUCCUUGAUCAUAGUCAGACCAUGAUCAUGGACAGACUGCCCCUCGCUCAUCUUCGCUUUGAAAAGCCUCUUGGACACUUCAAAACGAGCUGUGCGACUUUGCUCACCAUACAACUCUUGCAGGUGUGCCAGUAUGUCCCUAGCAGUCUUCAUAUUUUCAUGCUGGCAUUGGAGUUCAUUAGACAUGGAUGCCAU
This 323-nucleotide long non-coding RNA is filed under the name Phoenix dactylifera (date palm). RNAcentral describes it as "long non-coding RNA (PDAC_LNC017611)". Lineage: Eukaryota; Viridiplantae; Streptophyta; Magnoliopsida; Arecales; Arecaceae. The record is from RNAcentral.